Molecule: ribosomal RNA, 459 nt
Filed under: uncultured bacterium
Lineage: Bacteria
Description: partial 16S ribosomal RNA
Rfam family: Bacterial small subunit ribosomal RNA
Source: RNAcentral
CCUACGGGCGACUGCAGUGAGGAAUAUUGGUCAAUGGGCGGAAGCCUGAACCAGCCAAGUAGCGUGCAGGAUGACGGCCCUACGGGUUGUAAACUGCUUUUAUACGGGAAUAACGCGCCUUACGUGUAGGGCUUUGCAUGUACCGUAUGAAUAAGGACCGGCUAAUUCCGUGCCAGCAGCCGCGGUAAUACGGAGGAUGCGAGCGUUAUCCGGAUUUAUUGGGUUUAAAGGGUGCGUAGGCGGACGGUCAAGUCAGCGGUAAAAAUGCGGUGCUCAACGCCGUACAGCCGUUGAAACUGGCAGUCGUGAGGGGGCGAGAAGUAUGCGGAAUGCGUGGUGUAGCGGUGAAAUGCAUAGAUAUCACGCAGAACUCCGAUUGCGAAGGCAGCAUACCGGCGCCCUACUGACGCUGAGGCACGAAAGCGUGGGUAUCGAACAGGAUUAGAUACCCGGGUAGUC